GAUAAGGUUAAGUGAAUAAGGGCGCACGGUGGAUGCCUUGGCACUAGGAGCCGAUGAAGGACGGGACUAACACCGAUAUGCUUUGGGAAGCUGUACGUAAGCUAUGAUCCAGAGAUUUCCGAAUGGGGGAACCCAGCAUCUUUAAUAGGAUGUUACGAUUGUGUAAAUACAUAGCACAUUCGAGG
RNAcentral lists this ribosomal RNA (185 nucleotides) under Enterococcus faecium. RNAcentral describes it as "partial 23S ribosomal RNA". It matches the Rfam family "Bacterial large subunit ribosomal RNA", at positions 1 to 180 of the family's 2925-position model. Lineage: Bacteria; Bacillati; Bacillota; Bacilli; Lactobacillales; Enterococcaceae. The record is from RNAcentral.